Molecule: ribosomal RNA, 477 nt
Filed under: Sphagnum denticulatum
Lineage: Eukaryota; Viridiplantae; Streptophyta; Sphagnopsida; Sphagnales; Sphagnaceae
Description: 5.8S ribosomal RNA
Rfam family: 5.8S ribosomal RNA (bases 5-132)
Source: RNAcentral
AAACAACUUCCGGCAUCGGAUUUCUUGGCUCUUGCAACGAUGAAGAACGCAGCGAAUUCCGAUACGUAGUGUGAAGUGCAAAAUCCCGCGAAUCACCGCGUCUCUGACCCGAGGAAGCCCGAGGGGGGGUCGCGCGCCCCCUCCCCCCGCGGGGUGGUCCGGGACCCCUCCCUUUCGCUCUUAUACAUAAACAAGGGGGGAGACACACACACAGAACCCCCCACAAAAAAAACGGCCGUGCCACUUGACCACGUGGCGCGGAAGUUGGUUUGGCUGAACUGGAGCGGUAUUUGGCCGCGGGGGUUGUCUCUCCAGCCCACACCACAGUGCUCUGGGUCCGCCCUUUGAUCUCGUACGUGCGCGCCCGGCCAUCACCCAGGAAAAAACACCCGGUUUAAAGCCCGCCUCCGCUAGUCCGGCCCUACGGCCGCCCCUGGACCCCUACGUCUGCCCUUAGGGACCCGGUCAAUCCCCGUA